RNAcentral lists this ribosomal RNA (261 nucleotides) under unidentified marine bacterioplankton. RNAcentral's name for it is "partial 16S ribosomal RNA". It matches the Rfam family "Bacterial small subunit ribosomal RNA", at positions 87 to 339 of the family's 1533-position model. The record is from RNAcentral.
UGGUGCGAGUGGCGAACGGGUGAGUAACAUAUCGGAACGUGCCCAGUCGUGGGGGAGUAACGCAGCGAAAAGCUGUGCUAAUACCGCAUACGAUCUCUGGAUGAAAGCGGGGGACUCUAGACAAUGGUCCUCGCGCGAUUGGAGCGGCCGAUAUCAGAUUUAGCUAGUUGGUGGGGUAAGAGCCCACCAAGGCGACGAUCUGUAGCUGGUCCUGAGAGGGACGACCAGCCACACUGGGACUGAGACACGGCCCCAGACUCC